AUUGAACGCUGGCGACAUGCGUAACACAUGCAAGUCGAACGGUGUUUGGUGCUUGCACCAGACAUAGUGGCGGACGGGUGAGUAAUGCGUAGGAAUCUGUCUUAGAGAGGGGGACAACCCGAGGAAACUUGGGCUAAAACCGCAUAUUCUCGAGAGAGGAAAGCAGGGGACCGGAAACGGCCUUGUGCUCUAAGGUGAGCCUACGUCGGAUUAGCUAGUUGGUAGGGUAAAAGCCUACCAAGGCGAUGAUCUGUAGCUGGUCUGAGAGGACGGACAGCCACACUGGGACUGAGACACGGCCCAGACUCCUACGGGAGGCAGCAGUGGGGAAUAUUGGACAAUGGGGGAACCCUGAUCCAGCGAUGCCGCGUGUGUGAAGAAGGCCUGCGGGUUGUAAAGCACUUUCAGUGGGAAAGAGAAGCGUCUU
RNAcentral lists this ribosomal RNA (427 nucleotides) under uncultured bacterium. Its description in RNAcentral is "bacterial SSU rRNA". It matches the Rfam family "Bacterial small subunit ribosomal RNA", at positions 30 to 458 of the family's 1533-position model. The record is from RNAcentral.